Molecule: long non-coding RNA, 2735 nt
Organism: Lolium rigidum
Lineage: Eukaryota; Viridiplantae; Streptophyta; Magnoliopsida; Poales; Poaceae
Exons: 2
Source: RefSeq, a predicted model, not a curated record
UGCGUGUGGAGCGCUUCCCGGUGGAAGACGACGCGUCCGCGAGCAACUACGCCGCCCAAGUACUUGCUGUCCUCUCCUCCGCCCAGCCUCUGAUUCCCCGCUCGCGAGUGCGGUAUUCCCAUGAUGAUUCCGCCGUCGCCGCGCAUCUCUCCACCAUCCUCGUCCCUCAACGCCCUCUCUGCCAGGCCUCUCUUCCGCGCCGCUUCAAAGGUAGGCAGUCCUCCGUAUAACGUCAGCUCCCGGGGUAACUUUUUGGUGGCUCGUGUAUUCUUGCAGGGAACGGGCGGGUGGCGUAACAGGCCACCAGAGGAAUCUCCAACUUCAUGGAUUCUCUCUUAGCUUCAAGGAACCUGCGAAGAAAUAAUGCCCAAAGCAGAUUUUAAAUAGGUAUUCCGUAUCAUCGAUCAAUCCACUGUAGGAAACGUUUCAUGGACAGUAGUUUUAGAUAAUUAAUUGUAUCUUAUCUGCUAUUCAGUGACCUGUCUGUUUUUUAAAUAUUGAAUAUCACCGAUUCUGCAGGAUUGUUUCACGAUUGAUCUUUAGGUAGAGGUUCUUUAAUGGCAGUUGCAGCUAUACAGUUUCUAGGCCUUACUGCCCUGCUUGUUGGAAAUAGGAAAUACGCACCUAGGAGUAGAUUUAUGGCAGCGUAAUUGUUCUGUUUGUUGUCCUGCUGUAAUGUAAUGGCAGUGGUAAUUUGGAACUUUGCACAUGGCAUGCUUAGGAGUAGAUUAUACAUACCUAGCGAUACUGCUUGAUCCAUGAUUGGUCGCAAUUCGCCACUUUAAUCACACAGUAGGCCUAUAUGACUAUGUUUAUUGCUCUCUAAUUUUGGGUGUUUCUCCUUGAAUAUUAUGUGACCCUGGGUGGGGAAGAUAAACUUUUACCAAGUUAUUAUUGAACACAAGACCCAUCAAGGAACUAGUUUUCUGUGAACACAGUAGUAGGAUAUUGUUGUUGCGAUUCAAUCUGAUGGAUUACUUCCUUUCUCGAAACACUGUCAUGAUGCUUUCACUUCCAAGAGAAAGAAUGUUAAGAAGCUAAAAGAAAGGAUGUUAAGAAGCCAAAAUAAUAUUUAUAUGUAGAGAAAUAUUAUUUGUUGCAGUGUUCAAUAAUCUGGGUUUAAAUUCACGUGAAUCUGCCAACCUUAUGAAUGGGGAUAUUGCCUAUUUUUGGGGCUUUUAAUCUCUACUUGAGCUUACAAAUUUAGCAUUUUUUUGGAAAAUUCUUGAAACAAGCAUAAUUUGUCUUUACUGCCCAGCCUUGGAUUCUAUACGGUAGAUCCGUAUCAUCAUUUUUACUGAAGGUGUACAGACUAAAAUCAAAAUGGAAAACUUUUCUCCAUAGCAUUUAUUUUCUUCUAAUUGUGGAAAUUGGUUGUAUUGUGUGGAAGCUGCUUCAGAAAACGGACUUAUUUUAUGUUGUUUCUAAUCACGCAACAUCCCUAGUAACUUGUGCUAAUUGGUUCUACUUAUUAUUGUAGCAAGAUCACUAGCACACAUGCUGUUGUGUACCCAAUUUCAGUGAUGUCUCUGGUAUGCAUCUAUAUCCUAUACUCAGAAUACUCUUUAGGUGGGAAAUACUUUUUUGUCUGAAAUUUUCUCUUCGUUAAAUACUUGAUGGGUAGAUGGUAUGCUUGAUUUGUUAUUCUACACUCAUUUUUGGCAAAGUAGUAUGUAACUAUUUAGAUUUACCAUUAUGUGAAUGAAAUUGUUAGGAUACACUAGAAGCUAAAUUUUCUUGAUUAACCAUGGUCCGGUAUCGAUAUUUUUUUAGAAAAUAUACAUCUUCCCAUGUGCAUCAGAAUCAGUUUUCGCAAUAUUUGGUUAAAUACACUGAUGAUUCAUCUAAAUUUUUAUCUGCAUGGCUUUCCAUCUAUUGCACACCCAUUAUGCUAUUUGGUCAUUUCUAUUUUUGGCAGUAGGCCAAUAACUUCAACCGAGACACUACUUCUAAACUUUGCUCUCUAUUUAUGUCUAGUUGGGCGCACAGCGGGCAGUGGAUGGCUUUGGUGUAACAUAAAUAAGGUUGUAUACUGAGAGCACAUAUGCUGGCUUAAUGCUAAUUUGUUGCUUUAUUUGGAAGUGGGUAUAUGUUGUCCGGGUACCAAUAAAGGAAUUGGUAUAUGUUAUGGACAAUCCUGUCGGUGUGUUCUCUAUUGGCUUCAACAAUUUUAACGGCGGGUUCGGUUUUGGUCAUAGUGGCAUGCCAAGGGAAGCAGGGACGCAACAAAGGAUCGGAAGAUGCAGUACAACGGCCGAUACUGGAUCUCCCGUCCCCACCAAAGGCCUCAGGCACCCAAUGGCAGUGGCGCCUUGGCUCUUAUCGGUGACUCCAGCAGCAGCGCCUUCGUACCGGAUAUAAGCUCCCUGGACAAGUCUCUCCGGCACUACUUCACUGCAGACUAGCUGGCUAUCACAAUGCGUUGGAGAAAAUUCUAGUGACAGCCAGAAGAUAAGCUACGACAUGAGCUAGCAUGCAAGACAAUGACAUAAUUGUGUUGGUCAGGUGUGAUCUUUCCCAGGGUAGAUAAGUUAUGGGAGUAAUCAGUGCGGGAAGCAAUCUGUAAUUAGUGGCUCUUAAAGCCCUCUUUUCAAAAGCUGGAAUUUCGUGGUACCUGAGUGGAAAUUAUGUUGUUUGGUACGGAAUUCUUAACUUCUAGACAGCCAAUUCAAUUCAGUUAGUACUGAAUCCUUUGGUUAACAGUAGAACAACAUAUGUUUUCCCAAAUUUGAUUA